GACGAACGCUGGCGGCGUGCUUAACACAUGCAAGUCGAGCGGUGUGCUCUUUUGGGUGCACGAGCGGCGAACGGGUGAGUAACACGUGAGCAAUCUGCCCUUCACUUCGGGAUAACCUUCGGAAACGGGGGCUAAUACCGGGUAUGACUUCUGGCCGCAUGGCUGGGGGUGGAAAGAUUUGGUUUGGUGGAGGAUGGGCUCGCGGCCUAUCAGCUUGUUGGUGGGGUGAUGGCCUACCAAGGCGACGACGGGUAGCCGGCCUGAGAGGGUGACCGGCCACACUGGGACUGAGACACGGCCCAGACUCCUACGGGAGGCAGCAGUGGGGAAUAUUGGACAAUGGGCGGAAGCCUGAUCCAGCAACGCCGCGUGAGGGAUGACGGCCUUCGGGUUGUAAACCUCUUUCAGUGCCGACGAAGCCUGUGGGUGACGGUAGGUACAGAAGAAGCACCGGCCAACUACGUGCCAGCAGCCGCGGUAAAAC
Molecule: ribosomal RNA, 484 nt
Filed under: uncultured bacterium
Lineage: Bacteria
Description: bacterial SSU rRNA
Rfam family: Bacterial small subunit ribosomal RNA
Source: RNAcentral